CGUGUCGUGAGAUGUCAGGUUAAGUCCCGUAACGAGCGCAACCCUCGUCGUUAGUUAUACGUGUCUAACGAGACUGCCCGUGAUAAGCGGGAGGGAGGUGAGGAUGACGUCAAGUCAGCAUGGCCUUUAUAUCCUGGGCUACACACACGCUACAAUGGCCAGUACAAUGGGCAGCCAAGCCGCGAGGCGGAGCCAAUCCCGUAAAGCUGGUCUCAGUUCGGAUUGCAGGCUGCAACUCGCCUGCAUGAAGUCGGAGUUGCUAGUAACCGCGCGUCAGCCAUAGUGCGGUGAAUACGUUCCCGGGGAUU
RNAcentral lists this ribosomal RNA (308 nucleotides) under uncultured bacterium. Its description in RNAcentral is "bacterial SSU rRNA". It matches the Rfam family "Bacterial small subunit ribosomal RNA", at positions 1061 to 1378 of the family's 1533-position model. The record is from RNAcentral.